GGAAGUAAAAGUCGUACCAAGGUUUCCGUAGGUGAACCUGCGGAAGGAUCAUUAUUGUAUAACCGAGGUGCGAGGGCUGUCGCUGACCCGAAAGGUCGUGCACGCCCGAGUGCCCUCACACACAUCCAUCUCACCCCUAUGUGCACCAUCGCGUGGGUCCCCCUUUGGCUUGUUCGGAGGGGGGCUUACGUUUUCACACAAACUUUGUAUGCAGUGUAGAAUGUAUUUUUUGUUUUUGCGAUCACGCAAUCAAUACAACUUUCAACAACGGAUCUCUUGGCUCUC
This 285-nucleotide unclassified non-coding RNA is filed under the name plant metagenome. RNAcentral's name for it is "partial contains small subunit ribosomal RNA, internal transcribed spacer 1, and 5.8S ribosomal RNA". The stretch from base 1 to 54 matches the Rfam family "Eukaryotic small subunit ribosomal RNA", at positions 1778 to 1831 of the family's 1831-position model. The record is from RNAcentral.